This 125-nucleotide small RNA is filed under the name Marmota monax (woodchuck). Lineage: Eukaryota; Metazoa; Chordata; Mammalia; Rodentia; Sciuridae. The record is from RNAcentral.
GCCAGGCACGGCGGCACAUGCCUGUAAUCCCAGUGGCUCUGGAGGCUGAGACAGGAAGAUCACGGGUUCAAAGCCAGCCUCAGCAAUGGUGAGGCACUAAACAACUCAGUGAGACCCUGUUUCUA